GGGGGGGGGUGCUAUACAUGCAGUCGAACGCACAGCGAAAGGUGCUUGCACCUUUCAAGUGAGUGGCGAACGGGUGAGUAACACGUGGACAACCUGCCUCAAGGCUGGGGAUAACAUUUGGAAACAGAUGCUAAUACCGAAUAAAACUUAGUGUCGCAUGACACAAAGUUAAAAGGCGCUUCGGCGUCACCUAGAGAUGGAUCCGCGGUGCAUUAGUUAGUUGGUGGGGUAAAGGCCUACCAAGACAAUGAUGCAUAGCCGAGUUGAGAGACUGAUCGGCCACAUUGGGACUGAGACACGGCCCAAACUCCUACGGGAGGCUGCAGUAGGGAAUCUUCCACAAUGGGCGAAAGCCUGAUGGAGCAACGCCGCGUGUGUGAUGAAGGCUUUCGGGUCGUAAAGCACUGUUGUAUGGGAAGAACAGCUAGAAUAGGAAAUGAUUUUAGUUUGACGGUACCAUACCAGAAAGGGACGGCUAAAUACGUGCCAGCAGCCGCGGUAAUACGUAUGUCCCGAGCGUUAUCCGGAUUUAUUGGGCGUAAAGCGAGCGCAGACGGUUUAUUAAGUCUGAUGUGAAAGCCCGGAGCUCAACUCCGGAAUGGCAUUGGAAACUGGUUAACUUGAGUGCAGUAGAGGUAAGUGGAACUCCAUGUGUAGCGGUGGAAUGCGUAGAUAUAUGGAAGAACACCAGUGGCGAAGGCGGCUUACUGGACUGCAACUGACGUUGAGGCUCGAAAGUGUGGGUAGCAAACAGGAUUAGAUACCCUGGUAGUCCACACCGUAAACGAUGAACACUAGGUGUUAGGAGGUUUCCGCCUCUUAGUGCCGAAGCUAACGCAUUAAGUGUUCCGCCUGGGGAGUACGACCGCAAGGUUGAAACUCAAAGGAAUUGACGGGGACCCGCACAAGCGGUGGAGCAUGUGGUUUAAUUCGAAGCAACGCGAAGAACCUUACCAGGUCUUGACAUCCUUUGAAGCUUUUAGAGAUAGAAGUGUUCUCUUCGGAGACAAAGUGACAGGUGGUGCAUGGUCGUCGUC
Molecule: ribosomal RNA, 1037 nt
Filed under: Leuconostoc mesenteroides
Lineage: Bacteria; Bacillati; Bacillota; Bacilli; Lactobacillales; Lactobacillaceae
Description: bacterial SSU rRNA
Rfam family: Bacterial small subunit ribosomal RNA
Source: RNAcentral